This 740-nucleotide long non-coding RNA is filed under the name Equus asinus (donkey). RNAcentral describes it as "lncRNA (ENSEASG00005025257.1)". The record is from RNAcentral. Lineage: Eukaryota; Metazoa; Chordata; Mammalia; Perissodactyla; Equidae.
CUGAGCUGUGGCGUUUCUCAUUGGCUGAGCUGUGGAGGCUUCUCAUUGGCUGAGCUGUGGUGUUUCUCAUUGGCUGGGCUGUGGUGUUUCUCAUUGGCUGAGCUGUGGAGGCUUCUCAUUGGCUGAGCUAUGGCAUUUCUCAUUGGCUGAGCUGUGGCGUUUCUCAUUGGCUGAGCUGUGGCGUUUCUCAUUGGCUGAGCUGUGGAGGCUUCUCAUUGGCUGAGCUGUGGUGUUUCUCAUUGGCUUGCUGUGGUGUUUCUCAUUGGCUGAGCUGUGGUGUUUCUCAUUGGCUGAGCUGUGGUGUUUCUCUUUGGCUGGGCUGUGGUGUUUCUCAUUGGCUGAGCUGUGGUGUUUCUCAUUGGCUGAGCUGUGGUGUUUCUCUUUGGCUGGGCUGUGGUGUUUCUCAUUGGCUGAGCUGUGGUGUUUCUCAUUGGCUGAGCUGCGGUGUUUCUCAUUGGCUGAGCUGCGGUGUUUCUCUUUGGCUGGGCUGUGGUGCUUCUCAUUGGCUGAGCUGUGGUGUUUCUCAUUGUCUGGGCUGUGGUGUUUCUCAUUGGCUGAGCUGUGGAGGCUUCUCAUUGGCUGAGCUGUGGUGUUUCUCAUUGGCUGGGCUGUUGCCGGUUGGCAGAGAAAUCUUCCUUCAGUAGCAAAGUACUGGUACUUCCUGUUGAGAUGCAAGCAUCUGUCUCUUCCUGUUUGGAGUAUUGAUGAUGGGUGAUGGGGUGAGAGCUCCCCCUACAGGC